ACGCUGGCGGCAGGCUUAACACAUGCAAGUCGAACGGUAACAGGGAUUAGCUUGCUAAUCUGCUGACGAGUGGCGGACGGGUGAGUAAUGCUUGGGGAUCUGGCUUAUGGAGGGGGAUAACUACGGGAAACUGUAGCUAAUACCGCGUAAAAUCUUCGGAUUAAAGGGUGGGACUUUCGAGCCACCUGCCAUAAGAUGAGCCCAAGUGGGAUUAGGUAGUUGGUUAGGUAAAGGCUGACCAAGCCGACGAUCUCUAGCUGGUCUGAGAGGAUGACCAGCCACACUGGAACUGAGACACGGUCCAGACUCCUACGGGAGGCAGCAGUGGGGAAUAUUGCACAAUGGGGGGAACCCUGAUGCAGCCAUGCCGCGUGAAUGAAGAAGGCCUUCGGGUUGUAAAGUUCUUUCGGUGACGAGGAAGGUUGAUAGGUUAAUAGCCUAUCAAAUUGACGUUAAUCACAGAAGAAGCACCGGCUAACUCCGUGCCAGCAGCCGCGGUAAUACGGGGGGUGCGAGCGUUAAUCGGAAUAACUGGGCGUAAAGGGCACGCAGGCGGUGACUUAAGUGAGAUGUGAAAGCCCCGAGCUUAACUUGGGAAUUGCAUUUCAUACUGGGUCGCUAGAGUACUUUAGGGAGGGGUAGAAUUCCACGUGUAGCGGUGAAAUGCGUAGAGAUGUGGAGGAAUACCGAAGGCGAAGGCAGCCCCUUGGGAAUGUACUGACGCUCAUGUGCGAAAGCGUGGGGAGCAAACAGGAUUAGAUACCCUGGUAGUCCACGCUGUAAACGAUGUCGAUUUGGGGAUUGGGCUUUGAGCUUGGUGCCCGUAGCUAACGUGAUAAAUCGACCGCCUGGGGAGUACGGCCGCAAGGUUAAAACUCAAAUGAAUUGACGGGGGCCCGCACAAGCGG
Molecule: ribosomal RNA, 908 nt
Filed under: uncultured bacterium
Lineage: Bacteria
Description: bacterial SSU rRNA
Rfam family: Bacterial small subunit ribosomal RNA
Source: RNAcentral